CAAAUCAAAAAACAAAGGAACACUCAACCUUCGAAACAAUUGACAUCAUGUGCGCGACAAGAAUGCCUGUUUUCAAGUGUAAGAUUGCAUGGAUAGAGAAUCACUUGACUCCUGAGAAGAUGGUUGAACCUGUCCCUCCCUCCUCCUACAAGGGCGUCAAACCGGUUUCUGGCUGCUAACCUGAAACAAUCUAAUCAGGAGGAACGGACAGGUCCCUAGCUCUUGAUAAUUAAAAUAGUAGCUAUGCCGGGACGGAAGUUUAUUCGCCUGAAGUCUGGAACGAGAAUGAUCCCGGAAGGGUGGGCGAUAACCGCCCAACAUGUUACACCCGUCAGAUCAACUUUUGGGCCUUUUUGAUUGCUUUUGAACGCUCCCUUUGUAUGCCCCAUGCAUGUACAUGUUCUCAACAUGCACCAAUUUGACAUCUGUUGUUACACGUUACAGAGUCAACAAUGUGCUGUACAGCGUUGCAAGUGCUGGUAUUGCUGGAAAGUUGACACGUUUACAUAGCUCCCUGCUUUCAAGCUUCAGUACUCUCAAGUUACAACUGUUAGUUAGAUAAAAUUAUUACAUAGUAGAUAUCCUUUAUGCCAGCCAGCGGGG
RNAcentral lists this small RNA (603 nucleotides) under Histoplasma capsulatum var. duboisii H88. RNAcentral describes it as "Histoplasma capsulatum H88 hypothetical RNA". The record is from RNAcentral. Lineage: Eukaryota; Fungi; Ascomycota; Eurotiomycetes; Onygenales; Ajellomycetaceae.